RNAcentral lists this non-coding RNA (23 nucleotides) under Arabidopsis thaliana (thale cress). The record is from RNAcentral. Lineage: Eukaryota; Viridiplantae; Streptophyta; Magnoliopsida; Brassicales; Brassicaceae.
GGGUCGGAAGGAAUUGUCCGUGA